UCCACAAUUUGUGUGGGAAACGCAUAUUCACAUUGUUAUUGCUUUCACUUCAAAGGCAUCUGCAGAAUUCUGUGAAGAAAAUGAUGUUAAACACUCAUUAACGGCAGCCAGAACAUCUAGAGGAAACCGACAAAUUGAAAGAUGUUUCCGUGAUUUUCAACUCAAAUUGGCUGGUUCGUCACUUUUACUUCCAUUUUUGGAAGAAUGUCGGGAGGGAGAAUUGAACUCGUGACCUUUAGCCUGAGAGGCAUGGAUGUUACCACUACGCCAGAUCGCCUCCACACGUGAUGAAGCUGAAUUAGAUGUCGAAAAGCAUCUGUUAACAGAAAUUAGACAAAAAGCCCUGGAACAAAUGGCUCGUAAAUCAGAGAAAGAAGCUGAACGGUAUAUUUAAUCUCACAAAGCUCCUCUAACAUAUACAAAAGGUGAUUUAGUUCUCUUACGAUAUGAACCUCCAGCGGAUGGUAGCUCCUGGAAAUUAAUGCCGUGAUACCGAGGACCAUACGUGGUCGACAAUGUACUAGAGCCGGACCGUUACGUGAUACACCAGCAACGCAAGUAACUCAAAAACCAUUCGAAUCCGUGUAUGCAGCCGAUAAAAUGAAGCCAUGGGGUCAACCACCGGAAGACGAUUUCCUCGAGGUUGACGAUGUUACCAAUGAAUACUAAUACAGAUGUGAGAACAUCAACACGAAUAUAAAUCAGUUUAAAAUUUAAUCUAAACACUGAAUAAAUUUUUACUUUAUGCGAACAUACAA
Molecule: long non-coding RNA, 758 nt
Organism: Toxorhynchites rutilus septentrionalis
Lineage: Eukaryota; Metazoa; Arthropoda; Insecta; Diptera; Culicidae
Exons: 2
Source: RefSeq, a predicted model, not a curated record